RNAcentral lists this long non-coding RNA (407 nucleotides) under Brassica napus (rape). RNAcentral's name for it is "long non-coding RNA (BNAP_LNC026982)". The record is from RNAcentral. Lineage: Eukaryota; Viridiplantae; Streptophyta; Magnoliopsida; Brassicales; Brassicaceae.
UUCGGUAUUUAAAAAAUCAUCAAGAACUUCGAGUAAAUUUGACUUUUGCCUUAUAAAUGCUACACGCACCUUGUUAAUGUUAAUGAUUUAAUUAACCGCGUACCCGAUAAUAUUAGUAUAACCUAUUUCACCUACUUUUGUACUUCAGAACUAAGAUUAGUUACUCCUGAAGUCUUUUUAUUUAUUUUAAUUUCACUUCGAACUUCGAAAAAAUUAUAUGGAGGCAGCAUACGUAAUCGUAUUAUUAAUUUACAUAUACAUUUAUAGCGUGCAUGGGUUUAUUUUAAUCACAUAGAUUUUGACCCCUUAUUGAAUUCAGUUAAGUUUUAAUUUUUACUAAAAGUGUUGGUACAAGCAAACUAGUACUCUAUAUAAAAAAGAAGGUGAGUUGACCAAAAAAAACAAAA